GCAGCCGCCACGGUAAUACGUAGGGUGCAAGCGUUAAUCGGAAUUACUGGGCGUAAAGCGUGCGCAGGCGGUUAUAUAAGACAGAUGUGAAAUCCCCGGGCUCAACCUGGGAACUGCAUUUGUGACUGUAUAGCUAGAGUACGGCAGAGGGGGAUGGAAUUCCGCGUGUAGCAGUGAAAUGCGUAGAUAUGCGGAGGAACACCGAUGGCGAAGGCAAUCCCCUGGGCCUGUACUGACGCUCAUGCACGAAAGCGUGGGGAGCAAACAGGAUUAGAUACCCGCGUAGUCCCUGUCUCUUAUAC
RNAcentral lists this ribosomal RNA (302 nucleotides) under uncultured bacterium. Its description in RNAcentral is "partial 16S ribosomal RNA". It matches the Rfam family "Bacterial small subunit ribosomal RNA", at positions 508 to 807 of the family's 1533-position model. The record is from RNAcentral.